Molecule: ribosomal RNA, 465 nt
Filed under: Vreelandella stevensii
Lineage: Bacteria; Pseudomonadati; Pseudomonadota; Gammaproteobacteria; Oceanospirillales; Halomonadaceae
Description: partial 16S ribosomal RNA
Rfam family: Bacterial small subunit ribosomal RNA
Source: RNAcentral
CCUACGGGAGGCAGCAGUGGGGAAUAUUGGACAAUGGGGGCAACCCUGAUCCAGCCAUGCCGCGUGUGUGAAGAAGGCCCUCGGGUUGUAAAGCACUUUCAGUGAGGAAGAACGCCUGGUGGUUAAUACCCAUCAGGAAAGACAUCACUCACAGAAGAAGCACCGGCUAACUCCGUGCCAGCAGCCGCGGUAAUACGGAGGGUGCGAGCGUUAAUCGGAAUUACUGGGCGUAAAGCGCGCGUAGGUGGCUUGAUAAGCCGGUUGUGAAAGCCCCGGGCUCAACCUGGGAACGGCAUCCGGAACUGUCAAGCUAGAGUGCAGGAGAGGAAGGUAGAAUUCCCGGUGUAGCGGUGAGAUGCGUAGAGAUCGGGAGGAAUACCAGUGGCGAAGGCGGCCUUCUGGACUGACACUGACACUGAGGUGCGAAAGCGUGGGUAGCAAACAGGAUUAGAUACCCUAGUAGUC